CCCAAGAGAUCGGGAUAACACCUGGAAACAGAUGCUAAUACCGGAUAACAACAGAUGAUGCCUAUCAACUGUUUAAAAGAUGGUUCUGCUAUCACUCUUGGAUGGACCUGCGGUGCAUUAGCUAGUUGGUAGGGUAACGGCCUACCAAGGCGAUGAUGCAUAGCCGAGUUGAGAGACUGAUCGGCCACAUUGGGACUGAGACACGGCCCAAAACUCCUACGGGAGGCAGCAGCU
This 234-nucleotide ribosomal RNA is filed under the name uncultured Lactobacillus sp. RNAcentral describes it as "partial 16S ribosomal RNA". It matches the Rfam family "Bacterial small subunit ribosomal RNA", at positions 129 to 355 of the family's 1533-position model. Lineage: Bacteria; Bacillati; Bacillota; Bacilli; Lactobacillales; Lactobacillaceae. The record is from RNAcentral.